RNAcentral lists this ribosomal RNA (484 nucleotides) under uncultured bacterium. RNAcentral's name for it is "partial 16S ribosomal RNA". It matches the Rfam family "Bacterial small subunit ribosomal RNA", at positions 28 to 507 of the family's 1533-position model. The record is from RNAcentral.
GAUGAACGCUGGCGGCAGGCUUAACACAUGCAAGUCGAACGGAAGGGGGGUGCUUUUGUCUGGUUUUCGCGGCGGGAGGGGGUGAAUAGCCCGUGAAUCUCCCUGGCUGGGGGGGGUAAUGACUGGAAAAGGGUGGUGCUAACGCCUAAUAGCUGCGGGAGAUAGAGGGGGGGCUUUGGAACGUAUCGGCUGAGGUGGGUCUAGGUCGGGCUGGUUAGUUGGUGGGGUAAAGGGCUACCAAGGCGGGGAUUCGUAACUGGUCUGAGAGGAUGAUCAGUCACACAGGAACUGGGACACGGUCCAGACUCCUACGGGAGGCAGCAGUGGGGAAUAUUGGACAAUGGGCGAAAGCCUGAUCCAGCCAUGCCGAGUGUGUGAAGAAGGUCUUCGGAUUGUAAAGCACUUUAAGUUGGGAGGAAGGGCAGUAAGUUAAUACCUUGCUGUUUUGACGUUACCAACAGAAUAAGCACCGGCUAACUUCGUG